AACGAACGCUGGCGGCAUGCCUAACACAUGCAAGUCGAACGAAGCCUUCGGGCUUAGUGGCGCACGGGUGCGUAACGCGUGGGAAUCUGCCCCUCGGUUCGGAAUAACAGUUAGAAAUGACUGCUAAUACCGGAUGAUGACGAAAGUCCAAAGAUUUAUCGCCGAGGGAUGAGCCCGCGUAGGAUUAGCUUGUUGGUGGGGUAAUGGCCCACCAAGGCGACGAUCCUUAGCUGGUCUGAGAGGAUGAUCAGCCACACUGGGACUGAGACACGGCCCAGACUCCUACGGGAGGCAGCAGUGGGGAAUAUUGGACAAUGGGCGAAAGCCUGAUCCAGCAAUGCCGCGUGAGUGAUGAAGGCCUUAGGGUUGUAAAGCUCUUUUACCAGGGAUGAUAAUGACAGUACCUGGAGAAUAAGCUCCGGCUAACUCCGUGCCAGCAGCCGCGGUAAUGUCUGUACU
RNAcentral lists this ribosomal RNA (459 nucleotides) under uncultured bacterium. RNAcentral describes it as "bacterial SSU rRNA". It matches the Rfam family "Bacterial small subunit ribosomal RNA", at positions 29 to 531 of the family's 1533-position model. The record is from RNAcentral.